GACGAACGCUGGCGGCGUGCUUAACACAUGCAAGUCGUACGGUAAGGCCCUUUCGGGGGUACACGAGUGGCGAACGGGUGAGUAACACGUGAGUAACCUGCCCACAACUUUGGGAUAACGCUAGGAAACUGGUGCUAAUACUGGAUAUGUGCUCCUGCUGCAUGGUGGGGGUUGGAAAGCUCCGGCGGUUGUGGAUGGACUCGCGGCCUAUCAGCUUGUUGGUGGGGUAGUGGCCUACCAAGGCGGCGACGGGUAGCCGGCCUGAGAGGGUGACCGGCCACAUUGGGACUGAGAUACGGCCCAGACUCCUACGGGAGGCAGCAGUGGGGAAUAUUGCACAAUGGGCGCAAGCCUGAUGCAGCAACGCCGCGUGCGGGAUGACGGCCUUCGGGUUGUAAACCGAUUUCAGAAGGGACGAAGCUUUUUGUGACGGUACCUGCAGAAGAAGCACCGGCUAACUACGUG
Molecule: ribosomal RNA, 465 nt
Filed under: uncultured bacterium
Lineage: Bacteria
Description: partial 16S ribosomal RNA
Rfam family: Bacterial small subunit ribosomal RNA
Source: RNAcentral